CCUACGGGAGGCAGCAGUGGGGAAUAUUGCGCAAUGGGCGAAAGCCUGACGCAGCGACGCCGCGUGAGGGAUGAAGGUCUUCGGAUCGUAAACCUCUGUCAGCAGGGAAGAACGGUCACUGUGCUAAUCAGCAGUGAAUUGACGGUACCUGCAAAGGAAGCACCGGCUAACUCCGUGCCAGCAGCUGCGGUAAUACGGAGGGUGCGAGCGUUAAUUGGAAUUACUGGGCGUAAAGCGCUCGUAGGCGGUAUGUCAAGUCAAGGGUGAAAUCCCCGCGCUCAACGUGGGAACUGCCUUUGAAACUGGCAAGCUAGAGUGUGUGAGAGGAAAGUGGAAUUCCAGGUGUAGGGGUGAAAUCAGUAGAUAUCUGGAGGAACACCGGUGGCGAAGGCGACUAUCUGGCACAUAACUGACGCUGAGGAGCGAAAGCGUGGGUAGCAAACAGGAUUAGAUACCCGUGUAGUC
RNAcentral lists this ribosomal RNA (465 nucleotides) under uncultured bacterium. Its description in RNAcentral is "partial 16S ribosomal RNA". It matches the Rfam family "Bacterial small subunit ribosomal RNA", at positions 338 to 795 of the family's 1533-position model. The record is from RNAcentral.